UUUUAUAUGAGAGUUUGAUCCUGGCUCAGGAUGAACGCCGGCGGUGUGCCUAAUACAUGCAAGUCGAACGCGUUGGCCCAAUUGAUUGAUGGUGCUUGCACCUGAUUGAUUUUGGUCGCCAACGAGUGGCGGACGGGUGAGUAACACGUAGGUAACCUGCCCAGAAGCGGGGGACAACAUUUGGAAACAGAUGCUAAUACCGCAUAACAGCGUUGUUCGCAUGAACAACGCUUAAAAGAUGGCUUCUCGCUAUCACUUCUGGAUGGACCUGCGGUGCAUUAGCUUGUUGGUGGGGUAACGGCCUACCAAGGCGAUGAUGCAUAGCCGAGUUGAGAGACUGAUCGGCCACAAUGGGACUGAGACACGGCCCAUACUCCUACGGGAGGCAGCAGUAGGGAAUCUUCCACAAUGGGCGCAAGCCUGAUGGAGCAACACCGCGUGAGUGAAGAAGGGUUUCGGCUCGUAAAGCUCUGUUGUUAAAGAAGAACACGUAUGAGAGUAACUGUUCAUACGUUGACGGUAUUUAACCAGAAAGUCACGGCUAACUACGUGCCAGCAGCCGCGGUAAUACGUAGGUGGCAAGCGUUAUCCGGAUUUAUUGGGCGUAAAGAGAGUGCAGGCGGUUUUCUAAGUCUGAUGUGAAAGCCUUCGGCUUAACCGGAGAAGUGCAUCGGAAACUGGAUAACUUGAGUGCAGAAGAGGGUAGUGGAACUCCAUGUGUAGCGGUGGAAUGCGUAGAUAUAUGGAAGAACACCAGUGGCGAAGGCGGCUACCUGGUCUGCAACUGACGCUGAGACUCGAAAGCAUGGGUAGCGAACAGGAUUAGAUACCCUGGUAGUCCAUGCCGUAAACGAUGAGUGCUAGGUGUUGGAGGGUUUCCGCCCUUCAGUGCCGGAGCUAACGCAUUAAGCACUCCGCCUGGGGAGUACGACCGCAAGGUUGAAACUCAAAGGAAUUGACGGGGGCCCGCACAAGCGGUGGAGCAUGUGGUUUAAUUCGAAGCUACGCGAAGAACCUUACCAGGUCUUGACAUCUUGCGCCAACCCUAGAGAUAGGGCGUUUCCUUCGGGAACGCAAUGACAGGUGGUGCAUGGUCGUCGUCAGCUCGUGUCGUGAGAUGUUGGGUUAAGUCCCGCAACGAGCGCAACCCUUGUUACUAGUUGCCAGCAUUAAGUUGGGCACUCUAGUGAGACUGCCGGUGACAAACCGGAGGAAGGUGGGGACGACGUCAGAUCAUCAUGCCCCUUAUGACCUGGGCUACACACGUGCUACAAUGGACGGUACAACGAGUCGCGAACUCGCGAGGGCAAGCAAAUCUCUUAAAACCGUUCUCAGUUCGGACUGCAGGCUGCAACUCGCCUGCACGAAGUCGGAAUCGCUAGUAAUCGCGGAUCAGCAUGCCGCGGUGAAUACGUUCCCGGGCCUUGUACACACCGCCCGUCACACCAUGAGAGUUUGUAACACCCAAAGUCGGUGGGGUAACCUUUUAGGAGCCAGCCGCCUAAGGUGGGACAGAUGAUUAGGGUGAAGUCGUAACAAGGUAGCCGUAGGAGAACCUGCGGCUGGAUCACCUCCUUUCU
Molecule: ribosomal RNA, 1580 nt
Filed under: Limosilactobacillus fermentum CECT 5716
Lineage: Bacteria; Bacillati; Bacillota; Bacilli; Lactobacillales; Lactobacillaceae
Description: Lactobacillus fermentum CECT 5716 16S ribosomal RNA
Rfam family: Bacterial small subunit ribosomal RNA
Source: RNAcentral